Non-coding RNA from Acanthosepion pharaonis, 101 nucleotides. Lineage: Eukaryota; Metazoa; Mollusca; Cephalopoda; Sepiida; Sepiidae. The record is from the annotation of a GenBank genome assembly.
UACCAGAAAUUCUACACCAGUUCUCGUACAAGCACAGAAGUUAAGCAAAUUUGAGCCUGGUCAGUACCUAGAUAGGUGAUCGCUUGGCAAUGCUAGGUGCU